RNAcentral lists this ribosomal RNA (331 nucleotides) under Irpex lacteus. RNAcentral's name for it is "eukaryotic LSU rRNA". The stretch from base 1 to 71 matches the Rfam family "5.8S ribosomal RNA", at positions 83 to 154 of the family's 154-position model. Lineage: Eukaryota; Fungi; Basidiomycota; Agaricomycetes; Polyporales; Irpicaceae. The record is from RNAcentral.
CAGUGAUCAUCGAAUCUUUGACGCACCUUGCACUCCUUGGUAUUCCGAGGAGUAUGCCUGUUUGAGUCUCAUGGUAUUCUCAACCCCUAAAUUUUUGUAAUGAAGGUUUAGCGGGCUUGGACUUGGAGGUUGUGUCGGCCCUUGUCGGUCGACUCCUCUGAAAUGCAUUAGCGUGAAUCUUACGGAUCGCCUUCAGUGUGAUAAUUAUCUGCGCUGUGGUGUUGAAGUAUUUAUGGUGUUCAUGCUUCGAACCGUCUCCUUGCCGAGACAAUCAUUUGACAAUCUGAGCUCAAAUCAGGUAGGACUACCCGCUGAACUUAAGCAUAUCAAU